This is a non-coding RNA of Nicotiana sylvestris (wood tobacco), 75 nucleotides long. The record is from Rfam. Lineage: Eukaryota; Viridiplantae; Streptophyta; Magnoliopsida; Solanales; Solanaceae.
CGAGGUGGAGCGCAGUCUGGUCAGUGCAUCUAUUUUGGGUAUAGAGGUCCAUAGGUUCGAAUCCUGUCACCUUGA